This 3532-nucleotide long non-coding RNA is filed under the name Canis lupus familiaris (dog). RNAcentral describes it as "lncRNA (ENSCAFG00040014651.1)". The record is from RNAcentral. Lineage: Eukaryota; Metazoa; Chordata; Mammalia; Carnivora; Canidae.
AUGGCUGGAGAGCCCGGGCCGGGCCCUGCGCACCCGGGCCUCAAGCGGCCUCAGGGCACUGCCAGCCCCUGUACGAGUGAUUAUGACCUGGACCAUAAGCUGUACAGGGAAAAUGUCCCCUACAGUAGGGUGUAUGAAUACCAAAGGAUCCCUCCACUCAUCAACCGCGUGCCUGUCAGGAUCCGGAGGACCCAGGUGGGCAUGGGGGUCAAAAGCAGCUUCCGUCUUCACACGGGCCCCAGGAAGAGCCACCUGCCCCGGGAGCAAAUAAAGCUCCCGACUGAGGAGCUGCACUCCAUCAGGGGGGAGCUGAGUCAGAUCAAAGCCCAAGUGGACCGUCUAUUGGAGAAUCUGGAGCACAUGGGCCAGCAGAGGGACCAGCUUCCAACUGGGGGCCCGGGACACACUCCCAGGUCAGAGGACAGUGAAGAAAACAGAGGUCCAGAACUCCAGCAGGAGCCCCAGGGCCAGAAGGCCCAUCCAGAAGCAGACAGCUCUGAGGACAGCACAGACCCAAAGGAGGCAGUGAGUGGCCUGGCACCUCCCCCAUCCUCACCCUCCUUGCGUUUGGGUCCUUGUGGCUUCCCUGUGAACAAGGGAGAGACUCAGGUUUGUGCAGGAGCCCACAGUGGUGGCUGAGGGGACACAGGACUUCUGCCACAUGCAAUUCCCAGAAGAUGGCCCUGCACUGCUUUUUAUUCCCUCUCAUCUCGGGCUUGACGGCUCAGCUGGACUAGGGGCUAGUUCUGGGCUGAAAUACAAUCAUGUCCUGGAAGCUGGGAGGCGGGCUUUGAGCACUGCAGAAUGUCACAGGUGUGCCUCAUGGUCCCAGACCCCUUGCCAGAGGCCCCAGAAUCGGUUAAAACUGGCCUUUUUCCUGGCCCUGCUCCCACACAUUGUGGUGUACCAUGCUCCCCAGGGAAGCUGGAGCUCAUGGACCUUCCUGGACGGAAAACAUCCAAACCAGGAUGUGAUGGUCUGAUGAUAGCCCUUUGGGUAGCAUUCAAGGGCCCCAGUGUUCCCUGCCCUACCACAUUCUCCUCCCUUCUUGAUAAUCCGUGAGGUGGGCCAAGCCCCAUGUGUUUGGGCCACCUCUGCAAGGUCCAGGAUGCUGAGGGGCUGGCAGGAACAAGCUUCCCUUCCUCCACCUGUCUGGCUCCGCCCCCUGGACUGCUGGGCUCCGCAAAGUCCUUACUGCUGUCCAGGCCUGAGUCACAUCUGGGAAAAUAUUGGGCUGGAUGAAGGGACUGCUUUGGUGGUUCUGGGUUCCCAGGCCUCAGGAAGAAUCUAGAGUAGCACUGAGCGGCAAACCUGCCGAGAAAGAGACACGGGGUUGAGGGGAGAUGUUGGCAGACAGGCUUCCCUUUCCUAGCCAUGCCAUGCCUCUCGGCCCUCCUGGCCAGAGUCCUGUUUCUCUAUUUCCUACAGGUGAAGAAUCCUGCAUCGGACCAGGAGGGCAGCCAGUAGAAUGGUGGAACCCCUCUGGGCUCCUUCCUGGAUGGCUCCCUUCCUUGCCUCGUGUGGGUUUUUGAAGGCCUCCUGGAGGUGCCUGUGCAGCCCGAAGCCACCCUUCUGGAAGGAGUGCAGUGAAGUGGGGGCCUGGCUCAGCCAAACUAGCCAUGAAGCUUCUCCGUAAUGGUGGCUUUUGGAGGUCACGUUUUCCGAUGAUACGGGCUGAGGGUGGCCUGCAGCUGCCUAGCAUAAGCCUCCCAUCCUCAUGAAGCUGAGGCCGUCUUGCAAGGGGCCCCAGGUCCCCCUGGGUACACAUCAGCCCCCAGUGACCACAGGUACCGUAGUGGCUGCUCCCCACUCCGAAGGGCCCUGCCAGUUCUGAGUAGGCAGCCAGCACAGUUCCCUCCAGCCACAGUGGCAUACCGGAAACCCUCAUGUUCCUACGGUCCCCCUUCCAGUCUGCACCUGGGCUUUCAGCUCCUCAGUGUGCCCCACAUAAUCCCCUUUGGUUCCAGACUCCCCAUCCACCCUGUAAAGCCAUCCUUCAGAAUAGGGACAUCAUUUUUAUGUUCUGCUCCUGUCUAGUCUCUUGCUAGUGUGAUACUAUGUGUUUCAGAUCUGCUCUGGAAAUAGUAUUGUAUCAAAAGGGAGAAAAUGCACAACAUUUUCCCCCCUUUUGGGGGUCAGGGGUUCUUGGUAGGGUCAUCAAGCCUCAUUCUGGUCUUUGGGCUGCCUCAGGCCAGGCCUUCCUGGAGAAGCUGAGCAGGCCCCUGCAUCACAGAAGUUCAGCAGUUCCUACUCAGCCAGGGCACAGAAGAGGGGACCAGGCUUCCCUGCCUUCUUCCAAUUCAGACCUGAGCACAAACCCACAGAGCUCAUGAGCCACAUAGGGAAGAUCCUGCUCUUGUGGUCACUCAGGCCAGUUCUCCAUAUGGAAUGAUGGCCAGGCCACAUCUGACUUCCCAACAACCAGCAGCUCUUACUCCUGGAAGUUCAUCUGCCCUUUCCCAGGAGGCAAGACUGGACCAGGGGCACCAAAUAAUAAAGCCAACCUGGUGCAGCACCUGGGCUCAGUCGGUUAGGCAUCAGAUUCUGAUUUUGGCUCAGGUCAUGAUCUCAGGAUCAUGAGAUCAAGCCCAGCAUCAGGCUCUGCGCUCAACAUGGAGUCUGUGUGGAAUUUUCUCUCUUCUUCCCCACUGUCAACCCCCUUGCAUGCCUCUAAAUUAAAAAAAAAAAAAAAAGGCAGCCUGGACCCCUACUUCUUAGCAGCAGUGGGGGAGGCCUCUAGCUUCCACCCAGAGCCAAACCCCUUCCACCUACCCAAACCUGAGCUGUGGUCUUGCCCAGCACCAAACCAGAGGCCACAGAGUACACCCAGAGUGCUCCUGGGCCCACACAACCUUCCCUACUGUUGUCACCUUGGCAAUGGCCAACUCUGCUACUCUAGGGGCACCUUCACCUCCUUCAAAGCACAUUUCCCCACACCAACUCCUGCACCUCCUUUAGUUUCAGCCAGUCUUUUCUGCUUAUGUUGGUCUAAGGAACAGGACACAUUUAAGACAAUGCUGUCCCCAACCCCUUGACACCAGGAGUCGACUACAGGGCACAAAAGAACCUUGUUCUUUUAAAUUCACUACCGAGAUGAACCACGAUAGACUUUUCCAGAUAUAAAGGAGUUUGUUUUAGCUCAGAUGUAAAUGAGAAGGCACAGCCCCCUUGUCCAUUCUCUCAAAAGCAGCCCAAGUCUAUAGAAGGGAGUCACUAGCUGGCCUGCACAGGGUCCAUCCCUUACAACAGUUCCAAGUCCCGUCCUCCAGAUGAGUCCAGCUGAAGUCCUUCCCAACCUGGGAGGCAAGCUGCAUUCGCAAGUUUCUUCACCUGGGUCGUAGCUGGGAAGCACCUGCUCAAGUAGAAACGUUUCUUUAACAGAAGUCUCUAAAGAGCCGUCCCAACACAGCCGUCCGGCGCUGUGCACGCCCCGUCGGAUCCUCUCCCGCCCGGAGUUCUCCGCGCCGCGCAGUCUGGCAGCGGACGGCAAGGGUCCUUCGGGGGACGGGGGCAGCUCGGUCCUCGGCGUCCG